This 253-nucleotide ribosomal RNA is filed under the name uncultured bacterium. RNAcentral's name for it is "partial 16S ribosomal RNA". It matches the Rfam family "Bacterial small subunit ribosomal RNA", at positions 524 to 776 of the family's 1533-position model. The record is from RNAcentral.
UACGUAGGGUGCAAGCGUUGUCCGGAAUUAUUGGGCGUAAAGAGCUCGUAGGCGGUCUGUCGCGUCGGCUGUGAAAACUCGGGGCUCAACCCCGAGCCUGCAGUCGAUACGGGCAGACUAGAGUGCGGUAGGGGAGACUGGAAUUCCUGGUGUAGCGGUGAAAUGCGCAGAUAUCAGGAGGAACACCGGUGGCGAAGGCGGGUCUCUGGGCCGUAACUGACGCUGAGGAGCGAAAGCAUGGGGAGCGAACAGG